Molecule: long non-coding RNA, 268 nt
Organism: Sphaerodactylus townsendi
Lineage: Eukaryota; Metazoa; Chordata; Lepidosauria; Squamata; Sphaerodactylidae
Exons: 3
Source: RefSeq, a predicted model, not a curated record
GGGGUGUGGUAUGAUGCUUAGAACAUCACAUGAUGAAGAGGUGGGAUAUCUAAGUUUGAAUCCCUCACUGGACCACAGAAUCCUGUCAGGUGACCUCGGCCUGUAACAAUCUGUCAGCCUAACCAAGCCUCACAAGGGUUGCUCGUUUCCAUGUUGCCAGGGACCUCAGGAGAAUCAAAGAAAAACAAGCAGCCUCCUGGUCAUGACUGGCUACCCUGGAAGGCUUGAAAAUAAGGAGAGAGGGCUCAGCAAAGAACAGCAAAGCUGC